Molecule: ribosomal RNA, 255 nt
Filed under: Triticum aestivum (bread wheat)
Lineage: Eukaryota; Viridiplantae; Streptophyta; Magnoliopsida; Poales; Poaceae
Description: partial small subunit ribosomal RNA
Source: RNAcentral
AUGCAGACCUCACUUCGCAUGCUGAAUUCUUCAUCGACAACGUCAAAGAGACAUGGAACCGUCACUACGAACACUCAAAGGUCUAGAUCAGUCAUUUCCCGAUUGAGUACGUGGCGACCACGAAUCAAGGGAACACGACGGACUGUGGCUUUCACACGUUGGAAUACUAUGCAAAGUGGGAAGGUAGACUUGUCCCCGCUGUCACAGCUGCAACGGUCGUUGAGCUCCGGAAAAUCUACACAUGGAACUGGUUGA